AUCGAGGCUAGAGUCACACUUGAGUAUUGGUUAUUGCCUUAGUGUGCUACAGUCCUCGAAGAGUCACUGCUGACCUUAUUCACUGGCUGUGGCGCUGAUGGCAGUCAGUCACCAGGUUAGUGACAUGG
Otolemur garnettii (small-eared galago) is the source of this 128-nucleotide small nucleolar RNA. NCBI's taxonomy places the organism in Eukaryota, Metazoa, Chordata, Mammalia, Primates, Galagidae. The record is from Ensembl.